UGUAGCAGUAUGGAAAUAGGAUUGUCCUGCUACAGUUAACUGCGCCUGCCGACCACUAGGGCGGCGGUAGUAUAUAAAGGCUGCCCCCCUUCUCGCGCCCCACUGAUGCAUCAUUUCCGGGUCAGGUGUCUGUCCGCGCAGAGUAGCGACAGAGGACUCCGUGCCCCUUUUUGCUCUUGGGUCCUCUCCGUGUUAGACCGAACGAUAUUCUGUAGCUAACGUUAUUGUGGUCACAGGUAGAUGUCUUCCUGCCGUGUGGGUCUUUCUCUCCCUCCCUCUCCCUGUGCAGGUUUGACCUGGGAAACAGGGAAUGCUCAUCAGCUGGCCGAAAUCCACAGCGGCUGUAGGCUGGUGGUGGCGCCGGUGGUGUGGGUGGUGGUGGUCUUCCUCGUGUGUCGUGUCCCAUUGGAUUGUUGUGCUAUCACUGGGUGAACUCUGGUUUGGUUUUCUCUAAGUUUGUUCUAUUAAUUUUCCUUCCCCUUCAUCGGCGCUUCUCACCAUUAGGCCUUAGCGAUUAGUUUCCUUUUCUCAUUUU
Gasterosteus aculeatus aculeatus (three-spined stickleback) is the source of this 535-nucleotide long non-coding RNA. Lineage: Eukaryota; Metazoa; Chordata; Actinopteri; Perciformes; Gasterosteidae. The record is from Ensembl.